UCCCAGCAACCCCAUCCUCGUUUCUCCCCUCUCUUGCUUCUCCUCCAGCUUGAGUCGAGCCGAGCAGGAGCAGCGCAGGCCGCCGCCCGUUCGUCGAUUCCGACCAGCUCGACCCACCGUUCCUCGAUUCCUCGCGCCCAAGCCUUUCCCUCCUCCUCCUCCACCUCUGCCACGCCUCCCCGAGCCCGGCCGCGCCCUACCCCAGCCGGAAUCGACACCUCGUACCACCAGCAUCCAUUAAAGUUUCGUCGAAACUCAGGCCGCCGUCGAACUCCACCUCCCAGCCACCGUUUCCACCAACCAACGGCUGAAAUCGACUCCCCUCGACUCCUUAAAGCUCAUGCUCUCCUCGUUCUUGCGCGUUCCCGUUGUUUCCGCGCUCGUUCUCCAGCCAUGUCAUCGCCGACAUGCUGCUGCUCGCCGCGAGCCGCGCGCACGCGCCCCUGCGCCGCACCGCCGAGCACCCCCAGUCCGCCCGGCCCUGUCGAACCCUCCCGUGGCUGCCCCAUCACCAACCUACCUCGCCGCAGGCGAGGGCACCGCCGCCAUCGCCGCUCGUGCUGCUGCACCGCCGACGCCCCUCCUCCAACUAUCCCCGGCUCCAACUCUUACUUCGAUCCGGCCCUAGGUAUGAUAGAUGAACCAUGUAAAGGACGUGCUGUUGGAGCCGAAGUCGAACACGAUGUUUGGUGGACAUAUCCAGAAGAUGGAUGGAUGGAUCCCGACAUGCAUGACCGAAGGCAGAUGCUCGCCAAGCGAGUAUCAUCUAGCUAACACUGACUUAGUGUUAAUCCCAGACAAGCCCCAGAGCAUAACCCUAAUUUAAGUAUUCAAUGUUUAUUUAAGUAAUUGUGUAUUUACGUUCUAGGAGUUGUAUGACACCCUAGUAUGCAUAUUCUCCCUAGGUACCUAUAAGUCCAUACUAGUAUAGAUGUCGUUAGAAAUGCUUUGCUAAGUAGGAUCUCGGUAGAAGUUGAGUGAUUCCUGUCACUCGCGAGAUUUAAGAUCCGGUUACUUAUGACAAAGUGGUUUGAGAA
Panicum virgatum (switchgrass) is the source of this 1037-nucleotide long non-coding RNA. RefSeq lists it as uncharacterized. The record is from RefSeq and is a predicted model, not a curated record. NCBI's taxonomy places the organism in Eukaryota, Viridiplantae, Streptophyta, Magnoliopsida, Poales, Poaceae. The transcript has 2 exons.